Molecule: non-coding RNA, 71 nt
Filed under: Paenibacillus alvei
Lineage: Bacteria; Bacillati; Bacillota; Bacilli; Caryophanales; Paenibacillaceae
Source: RNAcentral
AACCGCCGUAUGCGGACCCGCAUGUACGGUGGUGUGAGAGGUCAGGGGCUAGCCGCCCCUAUCUACUCGAU